Molecule: small nuclear RNA, 108 nt
Organism: Octopus sinensis (East Asian common octopus)
Lineage: Eukaryota; Metazoa; Mollusca; Cephalopoda; Octopoda; Octopodidae
Source: RefSeq, a predicted model, not a curated record
AUGUACUGCUUCGGCAGUACAUAUAUACUAAAAUUGGAACGAUGCAGAGAAGAUUAGCAUGACUCCUGCGCAAGGGUGACGCAAAUACGUGAAGCGUUCCAUAUAUUA